This is a long non-coding RNA of Drosophila albomicans, 583 nucleotides long. RefSeq lists it as uncharacterized. Lineage: Eukaryota; Metazoa; Arthropoda; Insecta; Diptera; Drosophilidae. The record is from RefSeq and is a predicted model, not a curated record. The transcript has 2 exons.
UGCCUAUAAUGCAAAUAAAAAAAAUCCAAAUUGAACAACUUAGAAAGCGAGUAGCUGAACUGUUUCAAAACCUGUUUCAUUUUUUAACAGUUUUAUUGUGCGAUCAUUAUGAAAUUUGUAGAAUUUCAAAUACACCUAUAUUCCAACAGAUAGAUAGCCAGAUAACUGAAUUGUUAUAUGUACUAUUUCGAUUCCCAUCAAGAUGCCAUACCCUUCACACCUAUGGCCAGAGGGCAUUGAUUGCUUCAUAUCCAUUUUGGGACACGUAAGACAAAGCAUUAAGUGCGCACUAGCUACACACGCACAGGUACAUGUGUGUGUUUGAUAUCUAACAUGGCGUGUGAUGAUUGACGUUUACCAAAGCAAACCAAUGAGAUAGCAGAGAUCUGCAGUAAUGUGAAAUAUAGAUGGCGCCAGUACUUACUCUGAUUGAAGGCUCGAGCGGCAUGACCGUCAACAGCAUCCAGCAAUGCACUGAUUAUAUAACACCAACCGGCGAUCACAUAGUUGGUGGACAUGAACCAAAACGCAAUAAGAGCCAACACGAUGCGUGCAUAACCUGCAAAUUAAUCCAUAAGAAAAA